Molecule: long non-coding RNA, 307 nt
Filed under: Elaeis guineensis (African oil palm)
Lineage: Eukaryota; Viridiplantae; Streptophyta; Magnoliopsida; Arecales; Arecaceae
Description: long non-coding RNA (EGUI_LNC034934)
Source: RNAcentral
ACAGGGAAAAAAAAGAUGAAAGAACACAUGUUUCACAUGCAUUUGCUUGGUGUCAGCUUCUCCAAGUAGCAUUCAAUGCAGGAUGGGACUGGAUUGAAUAGAGAAAUCCUUAGCUCUUCUAGCUAAUUAAAGAGGAAUGAAGGCAGAAAAAUAUAGGAUAAGAUUUGGAUAGUGACGCAGGCUGAUGGUACCUGUGAUGGAUGGAGGAGAUAGUCCGGUCUGAGAAGCAUGAGAUAUGAUUCAAUGGAAGCCGACCGAUGUGGGAGGAUGGGGCUAUAAAUACAUCCCUAUCGGUAUUGCACAGCAA